UGGAAAUGCGAUGGAGACCACGACUGCGCAGACGGCUCGGACGAGAAAGACUGCACCCCCCGCUGUGACAUGGACCAGUUCCAGUGCAAGAGCGGCCACUGCAUCCCCCUGCGCUGGCGCUGUGACGCAGACGCCGACUGCAUGGACGGCAGCGACGAGGAGGCCUGCGGCACUGGCGUGCGGACCUGCCCCCUGGAUGAGUUCCAGUGCAACAACACCUUGUGCAAGCCGCUGGCCUGGAAGUGCGAUGGCGAGGAUGACUGUGGGGACAACUCAGAUGAGAACCCCGAGGAGUGUGCCCGGUUCGUGUGCCCUCCCAACCGGCCCUUCCGUUGCAAGAAUGACCGCGUCUGUCUGUGGAUCGGGCGCCAAUGCGAUGGCACGGACAACUGUGGGGAUGGGACUGAUGAAGAGGACUGUGGUGAGCAGGGGGCCGACGAGAGGCCUGCAGGGGACGGGUAGUGCACAGUGGGGUGAGUCUGGUCCUCGUGGGAGCUGCACUGGGGUUAGGGUUAACCAGGAGGACUCGCCCAGGAAGGGGAGGAUCCAUUGCUAGGAGCCUGGGGGCUUUUCGUUAGGAAAGAGAAGCCCCUGGGGAAGGCUCUGGGGGCUGCCUGAUGCCUUAGGUCUUGGAGGUGGGGCUGGGAACCCAAAUGUUUGACCUGCUCCCCCUGCAAGCCUUGUCACUUAGGAAUUGGGAGCCACUGUUAUCUAUGGGGUUGCCGUGGGAGGAGGAGGCAGGGGAGAAUACCCAGGGCCUAAAGCCUCUGCCCUCCUCAGAGCCCCCCACAGCCCAGACCACCCACUGCAAAGACAAGAAGGAGUUUCUGUGCCGGAACCAGCGCUGCCUCUCCUCCUCCCUGCGCUGCAACAUGUUCGAUGACUGCGGGGACGGCUCUGACGAGGAGGACUGCAGCAUCGACCCCAAGCUGACCAGCUGCGCCACCAAUGCCAGCAUCUGUGGGGACGAGGCACGCUGCGUGCGCACCGAGAAAGCGGCCUACUGUGCCUGCCGCUCGGGCUUCCACACCGUGCCCGGCCAGCCCGGAUGCCAAGGUAGGAAAGCGGGGCAGAGCAGGGGUGGACACCCCAACUGUGGACUCUCAUGACCCUCCCUGUAACCCUUAGACAUCAACGAGUGCCUGCGCUUCGGCACCUGCUCCCAGCUCUGCAACAACACCAAGGGCGGCCACCUCUGCAGCUGCGCUCGGAACUUCAUGAAGACGCACAACACCUGCAAGGCCGAAGGUGCCGGAGCCACCAGAGGGCAGAAAGGCUGGGUGGGGCAGGGCGACCAGGAUAUCAAACAGGGCCGACUUGGAAUGGAAUGUCUUCCUGCGGACAUCUUGCCCAGAC
RNAcentral lists this small RNA (1356 nucleotides) under Pan troglodytes (chimpanzee). Its description in RNAcentral is "retained intron". Lineage: Eukaryota; Metazoa; Chordata; Mammalia; Primates; Hominidae. The record is from RNAcentral.